RNAcentral lists this ribosomal RNA (403 nucleotides) under Verrucomicrobiota bacterium. RNAcentral describes it as "Verrucomicrobia bacterium partial 16S ribosomal RNA". It matches the Rfam family "Bacterial small subunit ribosomal RNA", at positions 355 to 776 of the family's 1533-position model. Lineage: Bacteria; Pseudomonadati; Verrucomicrobiota. The record is from RNAcentral.
UGGGGAAUAUUGCACAAUGGGGGAAACCCUGAUGCAGCGACGCCGCGUGAGCGAAGAAGGCUUUCGAGUCGUAAAGCUCUGUCCUAUGAGAAGAUAAUGACGGUAUCAUAGGAGGAAGCCCUGGCUAAAUACGUGCCAGCAGCCGCGGUAAUACGUAUGGGGCGAGCGUUGUCCGGAAUUAUUGGGCGUAAAGGGUACGUAGGCGGUUUUUUAAGUAAGUUGUCAAAGCGUGGAGCUUAACUCCAUUAAGCACUUGAAACUGAAAGACUUGAGUGAAGGAGAGGAAAGUGGAAUUCCUAGUGUAGCGGUGAAAUGCGUAGAUAUUAGGAGGAAUACCGGUGGCGAAGGCGACUUUCUGGACUUUUACUGACGCUCAGGUACGAAAGCGUGGGGAGCAAACAGG